This 1512-nucleotide ribosomal RNA is filed under the name Lactiplantibacillus plantarum. RNAcentral describes it as "partial 16S ribosomal RNA". It matches the Rfam family "Bacterial small subunit ribosomal RNA". Lineage: Bacteria; Bacillati; Bacillota; Bacilli; Lactobacillales; Lactobacillaceae. The record is from RNAcentral.
GACGAACGCUGGCGGCGUGCCUAAUACAUGCAAGUCGAACGAACUCUGGUAUUGAUUGGUGCUUGCAUCAUGAUUUACAUUUGAGUGAGUGGCGAACUGGUGAGUAACACGUGGGAAACCUGCCCAGAAGCGGGGGAUAACACCUGGAAACAGACGCUAAUACCGCAUAACAACUUGGACCGCAUGGUCCGAGCUUGAAAGAUGGCUUCGGCUAUCACUUUUGGAUGGUCCCGCGGCGUAUUAGCUAGAUGGUGGGGUAACGGCUCACCAUGGCAAUGAUACGUAGCCGACCUGAGAGGGUAAUCGGCCACAUUGGGACUGAGACACGGCCCAAACUCCUACGGGAGGCAGCAGUAGGGAAUCUUCCACAAUGGACGAAAGUCUGAUGGAGCAACGCCGCGUGAGUGAAGAAGGGUUUCGGCUCGUAAAACUCUGUUGUUAAAGAAGAACAUAUCUGAGAGUAACUGUUCAGGUAUUGACGGUAUUUAACCAGAAAGCCACGGCUAACUACGUGCCAGCAGCCGCGGUAAUACGUAGGUGGCAAGCGUUGUCCGGAUUUAUUGGGCGUAAAGCGAGCGCAGGCGGUUUUUUAAGUCUGAUGUGAAAGCCUUCGGCUCAACCGAAGAAGUGCAUCGGAAACUGGGAAACUUGAGUGCAGAAGAGGACAGUGGAACUCCAUGUGUAGCGGUGAAAUGCGUAGAUAUAUGGAAGAACACCAGUGGCGAAGGCGGCUGUCUGGUCUGUAACUGACGCUGAGGCUCGAAAGUAUGGGUAGCAAACAGGAUUAGAUACCCUGGUAGUCCAUACCGUAAACGAUGAAUGCUAAGUGUUGGAGGGUUUCCGCCCUUCAGUGCUGCAGCUAACGCAUUAAGCAUUCCGCCUGGGGAGUACGGCCGCAAGGCUGAAACUCAAAGGAAUUGACGGGGGCCCGCACAAGCGGUGGAGCAUGUGGUUUAAUUCGAAGCUACGCGAAGAACCUUACCAGGUCUUGACAUACUAUGCAAAUCUAAGAGAUUAGACGUUCCCUUCGGGGACAUGGAUACAGGUGGUGCAUGGUUGUCGUCAGCUCGUGUCGUGAGAUGUUGGGUUAAGUCCCGCAACGAGCGCAACCCUUAUUAUCAGUUGCCAGCAUUAAGUUGGGCACUCUGGUGAGACUGCCGGUGACAAACCGGAGGAAGGUGGGGAUGACGUCAAAUCAUCAUGCCCCUUAUGACCUGGGCUACACACGUGCUACAAUGGAUGGUACAACGAGUUGCGAACUCGCGAGAGUAAGCUAAUCUCUUAAAGCCAUUCUCAGUUCGGAUUGUAGGCUGCAACUCGCCUACAUGAAGUCGGAAUCGCUAGUAAUCGCGGAUCAGCAUGCCGCGGUGAAUACGUUCCCGGGCCUUGUACACACCGCCCGUCACACCAUGAGAGUUUGUAACACCCAAAGUCGGUGGGGUAACCUUUUAGGAACCAGCCGCCUAAGGUGGGACAGAUGAUUAGGGUGAAGUCGUAACAAGGUAGCCGUAG